CAGCAGCCACGGUAAUACGAACCGUGCGAACGUUAUUCGGAAUUACUGGGCUUAAAGCGCGUGUAGGCGGGCCGCCACGUCGGUUGCUGAAAUCCCCCGGCUCAACCGGGGAAGUGGCAUCGAUACGAGCGGCCUUGAGGGGGGUAGGGGGAUCUGGAACUUCCGGUGGAGCGGUGAAAUGCGUUGAGAUCGGAAGGAACGCCCGUGGCGAAAGCGAGGUCCUGGACCCUUUCUGACGCUGAGACGCGAAAGCCAGGGGAGCGAACGGGAUUAGAUACCCGUGUAGUCCCUGUCUCUUAUA
RNAcentral lists this ribosomal RNA (301 nucleotides) under uncultured bacterium. Its description in RNAcentral is "partial 16S ribosomal RNA". It matches the Rfam family "Bacterial small subunit ribosomal RNA", at positions 509 to 807 of the family's 1533-position model. The record is from RNAcentral.